Molecule: long non-coding RNA, 234 nt
Filed under: Capsicum annuum
Lineage: Eukaryota; Viridiplantae; Streptophyta; Magnoliopsida; Solanales; Solanaceae
Description: long non-coding RNA (CANN_LNC013817)
Source: RNAcentral
AAUUCAAUUUUUGUACGGGAGAAAAGAUUCAAUAGUUGAUUGGCCUGUAAAGCUAUGAAAUUUAUUCAAAAAUAGAAGUAGGAGCUUCAAGAAAAUCCAACUGGUCGGAGGAACUCACACAAAAAAAUAAUAAUUUAUAUCAACUGUAGAUUGGGCUGUUACAAGAACUCCCACACAAAAAAUAUUUUGAUAUGUAUUUGAUUGUAGUUGGUUGAUGGGUGUAAAAAAAAAAAA